Molecule: ribosomal RNA, 687 nt
Filed under: Withania somnifera
Lineage: Eukaryota; Viridiplantae; Streptophyta; Magnoliopsida; Solanales; Solanaceae
Description: eukaryotic LSU rRNA
Rfam family: 5.8S ribosomal RNA (bases 265-410)
Source: RNAcentral
UCCGUAGGUGAACCUGCGGAAGGAUUAUUGUCGAAACCUGAAAAGUAGAAUGACCCGCGAACCAGGGGAGCCGCGCGGGCGGGGUGCUCUUGCGCCCCCUCCCAUGUCUCCCUCCUUGUCCCCCUCAUGCGAGCCUACGUGUGCUCCGGGCGACUAAUGAACCCCAGCGCAGAAAGCACCAAGGAAUACUUAAUAGAUAGCCUAUCCCCCAUGCCCCAUACGCGGAGCGCACGGGGGAACAUGUGCUUCUUUUGAAACAAAAAUAACUCUCGGCAACAGAUAUCUCAGCUCUCGUAUGGAUAAAGAAUGUAGCGAAAUGCGAUACUUGGUGUGAAUUGCAGAAUCCCGUGAACAAUUAAGUCUUUGAAUGUAAGUUACGCCCGAAGCCGAGGGUACGUCUGCCUGUAUCGCGUCGCCCCCUCGCCUUGCUCCCAUAAAAGGGAAGCGGCUGCAUCGCGGGACAGAUACUGGCCUCCCGUGUGCCUAGAGCUCAUGGAUGGCCUAAAUGCGAUUCCACGUCGAUGGAUGUCGUGGUAAGUGGUGGUUGAAACUCAACUCUCGUGGUGCCGUGGCUACUUCUCGUCGCGCGUGUGGUCUCCAGGACCCUUACAAUGCUUGGGCGCUCUGACCGUGACCCAGGUCAGGCGGGAUUAGCCGCUGAGUUUAAGCAUAUCAAUAAGCGGAGGA